RNAcentral lists this long non-coding RNA (523 nucleotides) under Helianthus annuus (common sunflower). RNAcentral's name for it is "hypothetical non coding rna". The record is from RNAcentral. Lineage: Eukaryota; Viridiplantae; Streptophyta; Magnoliopsida; Asterales; Asteraceae.
UCCCUUAAAAAUUGUCCUUUCUCUCUCUAGAAACUGAAUAUGACGCCCCUUUUUCUUCUUCCUGCAUUGCAUUCUUCUUCACCAUUUUCAUGACGAUUAAACCUCUCCGACUAGAUAAUCAAGUUUUUGUAUCUUAACAAUGCUAAAUGUCAACAAAUUGGAUAAUAAAAGAACAGAGCCAUCAAUAAGCUAUUGGAACCUCAGAGGUUAACUAUGAGACAGUAGCAGGAAAUAACGAAUGGUGGGUUCAGGUUGGGGAAAAUUAGAGAGUUGUACGAAGGUGAGGCUGUAUGUUCACAUGCAAACAUAUAUCGUGAAAGAGUUAUAAAUGAAGCUCAUCACUUUGUCGACAACAAAAAGAAGAUAUAUAUGUGAAAAUUCUAGUUGUUUGUUUCUUUUGUUUUGUUUGGUGUUAAGCUUUUGGUUAAGUGUUUGGGUGAAAAUGUUUAGAACAUGAAUCGAAUUGAUGGUUAAUGUUUUUUCGGUUGUUUGUCAUAUUAUAAAAAAAUAAAUUUUUGGUGGU